UUCAAAAAGCUUAAUUAUCAAAAAUUGACUUAUACAAACCCUUACUUUUAUUAAUCUACUUUACUCCUCAUUCUCCCACAGGAUUGCUCUGUCAAUGUGAUGGUUGGUUAGAAUGGAUAUUUCUGCAGUAUCAAACUAAACCCUCCUUACAACCUUACAUUGACAAAGUAGCCUCCAUUAUCCUUAAAGAACGACAGAGACUAAGACAGAUGAUUGGUCAAGACCCUCACUCCAUUAUUCUUCCUUUAUCUAAACAAAAUAUUAUGCAAGUAUUUCAAGAAAAUACUCAUUGGCAAAUUGCACUUUCAGAUUAUUUAGGAAAUAUUGACUGUCAUUAUCCUAAGAAUAAGUUAUUUUCAUUUUUUCAGCGCCAUCAAUGGAUCCUUCCUCAAAAAACUUCUCCUAAUCCAUUAUUAAAUACUGUUACCUGUUUUACAGAUGGUACAAAAUCUUUUAAAGCAGCCUAUACAACUUGCUCUGGUUUGUCAAAAACUUUUCAAACAUCUUUUACUUCUGCACAACAAAAUUAGUUAUAUGCUGUGUUGCAAGCUUUGCAAGAUUUUCCAGGUCCUGUCAAUAUUGUUACUGACUCUGCUUAUGCUGCCUUUUCUGUUCCUCUGUUAGAAACUGCAGCAUUAGGCACCAUACAAUCUCCUAUUAACACUUUAUUUUCUCAGUUACAGGUGUGUAUCCGUCAAUGUCUACAUCCCUUCUUCAUUACUCAUAUACGAUCACAUUCUAAUUUACCAGGUCCUUUAUCAUAUUAUAACGAUAAAGUAGACAAGCUUGUUUCUUUAGUUACUUACUCACCAGCUCAACGAUAUCACGACCUGACUCAUGCUCCUUCUUUCACCUUACAGAAGCGUUUUUCUCUUUCUGCAUUUGAAGCUCAUAAUAUCUUGAAUUCUUGUCCAACCUGUUCUCAAAUUAAUUCUCCUCGUUUGCAAGCAGGAACUGUUCCCAGAGGAACGCGUCCUAACGCCCUAUGGCAAAUGGAUGUUACUAUUGUUCCUGAAUUUGGAACUCUUAAGCAUGUUCAUGUUUCUAUUGAUACUUAUUCUUCUGCUUCAUGGGCAACAGCUUUACCAGGAGAACGAUCUCAUCAUGUUAUCACUCAUCUUUUACAAGCACUUGCAAUACUAGGUGUUACUGCCAACAUAAAAACUGACAAUGCUCCAGUUUACCUCUCCUCUACACUAAAGAGAUUUUUUCAGCUGUAUAAUAUUACUCAUAAAACAGGCAUUCCUUACAAUUCUACAGGUCAAGCUCUAAUUGAACGUCGUCAUCUUACUCUUAAGCAUUAUUUGUUAAAAGAAAAAGGGGGAUUAUUCCCGGAUAUGAUAAAAUUAACAGCAAAUCAACGCUUAAUGCAUGCUUUACAUGUUCUUAAUUUCGAUCUCUUAAAAGGUGAUGGACAAUCAGCUAUAGAAAUACAUUUUUCUGACAAUAUUUCUUUUCCUGAAACAACAGCAGUUACUGUAUGGUGGUCUCCAAUAGGUUCUUCACAGUGGUAUAAAGGUCAUAUCAAAGUGUGGGGCAAAGGGUUUGUUUGUGUCAUUACACAGGAUCAACGCUUGAUUUGGCUACCCAGAAAAAGAAUUAAGAUACGAUAUAAAGAAGAACUUCCAAUAUCAACAUCCUCAGAAAGAGCUGCUCCAGAGGAUGGCCACCAACAAACGUCAUCACUGGAAUGAAGCUUCCUGGAUAGUGAAGUUUCUACUUUUAUUUUUGGUGAUAACAUUUAUACAUACACACACUGCACAAGCUUGCACUAUUACAGCUAAUGUGAGCAGUCCUCCAUAUUUAGGCUGAGGAGUAGUCCUUCAGUGUGUAUACACCUGUUUUACUCCUGUAGGUCCUAUAGUAUGGAAAAAAGAUGGUGAAGAGAUAUAUAGACAAAAGUAUGGAGGAAAGCUUGGAUGGAAUAAUGCAACUGAUUAGUCUAAAAGAGACAAUACUCGCUAUGACAUUUAUAAAACAGUUUUGACCAGAAAUGAUAUUGGCAAUUAUUCUUGUGAAAAAUAUCAAAAAGGAUCUCCUGAUAUAUUAUAUAAAAGUAGUUAUGUCUACUUAGACAUAUCACUCUCUCCAGAGCGAGAAUUUUCUUCACCUAAUAUGUGGCUACAACUUGCAAGUCGAGGACUGAACAAGUCAUCUUCUUGUGUAGCAGGAGAUUCCUCUAUUGGUGGAUUAUUAAAGAAGAAUUUGAUAGACCAUCCUGGAUAUAAGCACAGACAGAUUUCUCGAGCCCUGUCACCUGAUUAUGAUAACAACUUGAAGUUGUUGGAUCCUGUUGCUGUAGCUGUUGCUGCUGCAUUCAUCUUACCAGUUCCAGGACUUGUUGUAGGAAUGCAGAAUGAAAUAUCCAAGAUGGCCUGUGCAUACAGUAAAACAACAAAUCUGACUGCUUCUGUAUUAUCUGAACUCAACCAAGAACUGGGAGAAGUAUGAGUUGCGGUACUUCAAGACCGUGCUACUAUAGACUAUCUAUUGUUAAAAGAACAUAUGGAAUGUGAACAGUUUCCAGGCAUGUGUUUUAAUCUGUCUGACUUUUCUCAAACUAUUCACAAUCAAAUAGACAAUAUUCAUCAUAUUAUUGAUAAGUUUUCUCAAAUGCCUGAAAUACCUAAAUGGUUUUCUUGGUUUCACUGGAUAUGGCCAGUAAUUGUAGGCCUGUUUCUUUUGUGUAUUUGCCUUCCAGUCUUGAUACCCUGGAUGCGUCAUAUAGUCACCAGUUUGUUGAAACCAAUGCUUGCUUAUGCUACUUUCCUAGAAGUGAUGUCUAAAAAAUGAUUGUCCUUUGUUUGCAUUGUUACUUAUGAAAGUCCGUGCACUAAAUCUUUGUAUUUUGUGAUUUCUAUGAUUAAAGCUGGACAUAAGAGUGAGAGUAUAAAAACAAACAUCAACAAACUUCAGUCUACUCCUAAUGCCUCCUUUUUCCACACGUUCUCUCCCUGUGUGGCCCCAGGAGAUAGCUAGUUAGCCAGAGACGGGUAAGAUUCCUCAUGGGAGGAACAACCUAAGACAGGCACAGUCAUAAAGGGUCAACAGGUGAGGAGGUGGGGGCCAACUGAGGCGAGUCUUAGAACCUCGUCCCCCCAUUUAUAUGAGGCAUUCUCUGCUGCUUUUGUCCAGCUAGGUUGAUAUUUAAAAAAUUAAGAACAGAUCUUUCACUUGAGUUACAUCAUUAUCUUGAAGCCUUUUAAAAACAAAAAGGGGGAAAUGUGGGAAUUAUAUGGAAUUUAUAUAUAAAGUAUGAAAAUCAUAUGUAUAAGCACUUUUGCCUUGAUGGUUUGUUUAUGGUUCAUGAUUGUAGUCAAGACAGAAACAGUAGCCAAGACAGAAAGAGUUUCUGUGUUCGUUCACCAUGAGGAUUUGUUCGUUAUCCUGCAGAAAGUGAAACUGUUGAGAGUUGAACUUAAUUAAUGAUUGUGCAUGGAAGCCCCAAUAUUGUUGUUAACAACCAUUUUAUCAAUAAAUAUGAGAGAUGCCUUCUCGGCACCACUCUUGCACUGUCA
This is a long non-coding RNA of Manis pentadactyla (Chinese pangolin), 3518 nucleotides long. RefSeq lists it as uncharacterized. NCBI's taxonomy places the organism in Eukaryota, Metazoa, Chordata, Mammalia, Pholidota, Manidae. The transcript is spliced from 2 exons. The record is from RefSeq and is a predicted model, not a curated record.